This 300-nucleotide ribosomal RNA is filed under the name Triticum aestivum (bread wheat). RNAcentral's name for it is "partial small subunit ribosomal RNA". The record is from RNAcentral. Lineage: Eukaryota; Viridiplantae; Streptophyta; Magnoliopsida; Poales; Poaceae.
AUGCUCUCGUGGCCUCCAUUGCAGCACCAGACUGUGGUUAAGGGUAGUAUCUGUCACAUGGAAAGAGCACUCUAUGAUUCAGUGAAGGAGGAGAACAACCCUGUUGGGUAUGGGAUGAAUCUCAUGCAAGUAAAUAUCGCGAGUGAGAAAUGGAGCUCUGGAGCUCCACUAUUGGAUGGCAGGGGAAAUGUUAUUGGGAUCCUACAUGGAGGCUUGGGAGGUCCAUUCUCUUACUUUGUCUUGCUCCGUCGCAUACUACCGUUCCUGAGAAAACAUGGCAUAAAUCCGCGUGUGGGGUAG